RNAcentral lists this ribosomal RNA (425 nucleotides) under uncultured eukaryote. Its description in RNAcentral is "SSU rRNA". It matches the Rfam family "Eukaryotic small subunit ribosomal RNA", at positions 592 to 1018 of the family's 1831-position model. The record is from RNAcentral.
CACUAGCGUAUAUUAAUGUUGUUGCAGUUAAAAGCUCGUAGUUGGAUUCCUGGCUCGGGGUAACCGGUCCGCCUUGCAAAAGGUGCGCACUGAGUGGCCUCGGCCAUCCUUGGGAAGAGCGGUCCUGGCAUUCGGUUGUCGGGGUCGGGAUUCCCGACGUUUACUGUGAAAAAUCAGAGUGUUCAACGCAGGCUUACGCCUUGAAUACAUUAGCAUGGAAUAAUGAGAUAGGACCUUGGCGGUCUAUUUUGUUGGUUUGCACGCCGAGGUAAUGAUUAAAAGGGACGGUUGGGGUUCUUCGUAUUCAAUUGUCAGAGGUGAAAUUCUUGGAUUUAUCGAAGACGAACUGCUGCGAAAGCGUCGAACAAGGACGUUCUCAUUAAUCAAGAACGAAAGUUAGGGGAUCGAAGACGAUUAGAUACCAU